Zingiber officinale is the source of this 1029-nucleotide long non-coding RNA. RefSeq lists it as uncharacterized. The transcript is spliced from 2 exons. The record is from RefSeq and is a predicted model, not a curated record. NCBI's taxonomy places the organism in Eukaryota, Viridiplantae, Streptophyta, Magnoliopsida, Zingiberales, Zingiberaceae.
CUCCCUCGCUACAUCUUCCUUGCCGACUCAUCUUUCUACCGACUGCUUUCUGCCGUCUCUCUCGCCGACUUUCUCACCGUCUCGCCGACUUUCUCCCCGACUCUUCUUCUUGUAUCUCGACGGCAUCGUGUAUCUGACCAACCUUGCUGCUCGUAUCUCGCGCGCCGACUCUACUGCUCUCUCUCAAAAGAAAAAUGAACAGGAGAAUUGAUAUUUAACCUCAUCAAUUUCAAGUUAAUUCCAGUGCUGAAUUGCUCAAACUGUAUAAAGUAAAAGUAGAAGGUGCCAAGAAUAUGAAGAAAAACAAAGAAUCUACUUCAAAGCAAGAGCCAAGGAAAAAUUCUACGGCUGGAAGUGCAGUCCAAGAAGCUAGAAAUACUCAAAUACAACAUCAAAUGAAAGACCAAAGGAAGCAGCCAUUGACCACUACAAGUGCAAUUCAAGAAGGUGCCAAAAAUAUGAAGAGAAACAAAGAAUCUACUUCAAAUCAAGAGCCAAGGAAAAAUUCUACUGUUGCAAGUGUAGUCCAAGAAGCUAGAAAUACUCAAAUACAACAUCAAAAGAAAGACCAAAGCAAGCAGCCAUUAAGCACUACAAGUGCAGUUCAAUAAGUUAGAAUGCAACAAGAAAAGUUAGAAGUAAGAUCUACUUUGAUGCAACAUGGAGAGCAAGAACAGAGGAAGAAGCUAUUAGCCAUUGGAAGUGCAAUCCAAGUAGGAAGAUCUACUCAAACACGCCACAAAAAGCAAGACCAGAUGAGGCAAUCCUUAGCCACUGGAAGUGAAGUCGAAGUUGGAGGAUCUACUUACAUUCCAAGUCAAAAAGACCUUGAUCAGUAAUGAUAGAUGACAAAUGAUUUUAUAUUUUGUGUGCAAAGAUUUAAGUUUAAGGUAGAGAAAUAUUAAGACAAAUGUGGAUGAAGAUGAUGCAUACUUUGUUAAUUAGUAUAUUUGUUUGAGUAUUAUAAUAUUUUGUUUUGGAUAACAAUGUAAUUAAUUUUCUUCAAUAUGUAUGUGGAUGAUUAAUAUA